GAUGAAGAACGCAGCGAAAUGCGAUAAGUAAUGCGAAUUGCAGAAUCCGUGAGUCAUCGAAUCUUUGAACGCACAUUGCGCCCCUUGGUUAUUCCGAAGGGCAUGCCUGUUCGAGCGUCAUUAUAACCCCUCAAGCUCAGCUUGGUGUUGGGGCCUGCCGACUGGCAGCCCUUAAAAUCAGUGGCGGCGCCAUCUGGCUCUAAGCGUAGUAAUUUCUCUCGCUAUAGAGUCCCGGUGGAUGCUUGCCAGCAACCCCCAACUUUCUAUGGUUGACCUCGGAUCAGGUAGGGAUACCCGCUGAACUUAAGCAUAUCAAUAAGCGGAGGA
This 327-nucleotide unclassified non-coding RNA is filed under the name soil metagenome. RNAcentral's name for it is "partial contains 5.8S ribosomal RNA, internal transcribed spacer 2, and large subunit ribosomal RNA". The stretch from base 1 to 120 matches the Rfam family "5.8S ribosomal RNA", at positions 35 to 154 of the family's 154-position model. The record is from RNAcentral.